AGGUAGGGAUACCCGCUGAACUUAAGCAUAUCAAUAAGCGGAGGAAAAGAAACCAACAGGGAUUGCCUCAGUAACGGCGAGUGAAGCGGCAAAAGCUCAGAUUUGAAAUCUGGUGUAGUAAUCGACACCCGAGUUGUAAUCUGUAGAGGAGUUUUCGGAGAAUGACUUUGGUUAAAGUUCCUUGGAAAAGGGCAUCAUAGAGGGUGAGAAUCCUGUUUAUGACCUUUGUAAUUCUCUAUUAUGAAUCUCCUUCAAUGAGUCGAGUUGUUUGGGAAUGCAGCUCUAAAUGGGUGGUAAAUUCCAUCUAAAGCUAAAUAUUGGCAAGAGACCGAUAGCGCACAAGUAGAGUGAUCGAAAGAUGAAAAGAACUCUGAACAGAGAGUUAAAGAGUACGUGAAAUUGUUGAAAGGGAAGCACUUGUGACCAGACAAAUUUGCAAUUAAUCAGCCAUCAGUUUUGGUGGUGCACUUGAUUGUAGAUGGGUCAGCAUCAGUUAUAGUAGUGGGACAAAGAUCAAAAGAAUGUAGCUCCUUAUUGAGGAGUGUUAUAGCUUUUGGUUUAAUACCGCUUGCCAUGACUG
This 580-nucleotide ribosomal RNA is filed under the name Pachyphlodes citrina. RNAcentral's name for it is "eukaryotic LSU rRNA". It matches the Rfam family "Eukaryotic large subunit ribosomal RNA", at positions 13 to 592 of the family's 3401-position model. The record is from RNAcentral. Lineage: Eukaryota; Fungi; Ascomycota; Pezizomycetes; Pezizales; Pezizaceae.